RNAcentral lists this transfer RNA (63 nucleotides) under Platerodrilus sp. UPOL VP0044. RNAcentral describes it as "partial tRNA-Ser". The record is from RNAcentral. Lineage: Eukaryota; Metazoa; Arthropoda; Insecta; Coleoptera; Lycidae.
UAGUAAAAUUGAAUUUUUCUAAUUAAUGAAAUUAAUAUAAAAAAAGGCUUCUAACUUUUUUUA